Molecule: ribosomal RNA, 441 nt
Filed under: uncultured bacterium
Lineage: Bacteria
Description: partial 16S ribosomal RNA
Rfam family: Bacterial small subunit ribosomal RNA
Source: RNAcentral
CCUACGGAGGGCAGCAGUGGGGGAUAUUGCACAAUGGGGGGAACCCUGAUGCAGCGACGCCGCGUGGGUGAAGGAGUGCUUCGGCAUGUAAAGCCCUAUCGGCAGGGAAGAAGCAAGACGGUACCUGACUACGAAGCCCCGGCUAACUACGUGCCAGCAGCCGCGGUACUACGUAGGGGGCGAGCGUUAUCCGGAUUCCCUGGGUGUAAAGGGAGCGUAGACGGCCAUGCAAGCCAGGGGUGAAAGCCCGGGGCCCAACCCCGGGACUGCCCUUGGAACUGCAUGGCUGGAGUGCGGGAGGGGCAGGCGGAAGUCCUGGUGUAGCGGUGAAAUGCGUAGAUAUCAGGAGGAACACCGGCGGCGAAGGCGGCCUGCUGGACUGCGACUGACGUUGAGGCUCGAAAGCGUGGGGAGCGAACAGGAUUAGAUACCCCUGUAGUC